RNAcentral lists this microRNA precursor (78 nucleotides) under Oreochromis niloticus (Nile tilapia). Its description in RNAcentral is "microRNA oni-mir-10854 precursor". The record is from miRBase by way of RNAcentral. Lineage: Eukaryota; Metazoa; Chordata; Actinopteri; Cichliformes; Cichlidae.
AGGGCCACACCAACAGGCUUAUGAAGAGAGAAAAAGAAUAUGAGCAAAACUGAGUUAAGCUUGUUGAUGUGGCCCUCC